This 510-nucleotide non-coding RNA is filed under the name Sorghum bicolor (sorghum). RNAcentral's name for it is "group I intron". The stretch from base 2 to 435 matches the Rfam family "Group I catalytic intron". Rfam says of the family: Group I catalytic introns are large self-splicing ribozymes. They catalyse their own excision from mRNA, tRNA and rRNA precursors in a wide range of organisms. The record is from RNAcentral. Lineage: Eukaryota; Viridiplantae; Streptophyta; Magnoliopsida; Poales; Poaceae.
GCUACGGACUUGAUUGUAUUGAGCCUUGGUAUGGAAACCUGCUAAGUGGUAACUUCCAAAUUCAGAGAAACCCUGGAAUGAAAAAUGGGCAAUCCUGAGCCAAAUCCACUUUUUUCAAAAAAGUGGUUCUCAAACUAGAACCCAAAGGAAAAGGAUAGGUGCAGAGACUCAAUGGAAGCUGUUCUAACGAAUCGAAGUAAUAACGAUUAAUCACAGAACCCAUAUUAUAAUAUAGGUUCUUUAUUUUAUUUUGAGAAUGAAAUUAGGAAUGAUUAUGAAAUAGAAAAUUCAUAAUUUUUUUAGAAUUAUUGUGAAUCUAUUCCAAUCGAAUAUUGAGUAAUCAAAUCCUUCAAUUCAUUGUUUUCGAGAUCUUUUAAAAAGUGGAUUAAUCGGACGAGGAUAAAGAGAGAGUCCCAUUCUACAUGUCAAUACUGACAACAAUGAAAUUUCUAGUAAAAGGAAAAUCCGUCGACUUUAUAAGUCGUGAGGGUUCAAGUCCCUCUAUCCCCA